RNAcentral lists this ribosomal RNA (400 nucleotides) under Trigonopsis vinaria. RNAcentral describes it as "SSU rRNA". It matches the Rfam family "Bacterial small subunit ribosomal RNA", at positions 505 to 950 of the family's 1533-position model. The record is from RNAcentral. Lineage: Eukaryota; Fungi; Ascomycota; Trigonopsidomycetes; Trigonopsidales; Trigonopsidaceae.
GUGCCAGCAGUCGCGGUAAUACUUUGGGUGCAAACGUAAAUCAUCGUUAUUUGGUCUAAAACGUCCGUAGGAGAAAUACACAUUUUAGAGUUUUAUAGGAGUAAGCAUAGAAGAUAUAUGAGUAGAGGCUAAAUUUAUUAAUACAAUAUCGACUACCAGACGCGAAAGCAUUUUACUAAGUAAAAACUGACUUUAAUGGACGAAGGUAUGGCAACUAAAAAAGAAUUAGAUACUCUUGUAUUCCAUACUGUCAACGAUGAGAAUUCGGGAUUAGAUUAAUCAGAAAAAUUUAGACCCUAAGUGAAGACAUUAAAUUCUCUACCUGAAGACUACAAGCGCAAGCUUGAAAUUCAAGACAAUAGGCGGUUACGGGCAUCAGUAGUGGAACAUGUUAUUUAAU